AUUAGAUGAUCUUCGGUCUUAUAUUUUAUAUUUUGUCAGCGAGGGGAAAAUGCAACUUCUGAAAUAACAUUAUUGACAAAACAUUUUGGUUAUUUGUCACCAUUGCACAGCUUUAACUUCAGUUUCCAGGAUGUCUCCAGCUUUAUACACAUGUGGAAUUUUACUGCUCGUGCUCACAGGAAAAGUGUCGAGUGCUGAAGUUAAACAGCCCUCUUCUAAAGUUGUGGUGGAAGGGACGAAGGAGCUCAACAUUACCUGCAGUCAUGAUGUCGGCAACCUUCUUGUGAUGCUGUGGUACCAACACCAACAGAGCAGUCAGACUAUGAGUUUCAUUGGGUACUCAUACCCCGUGGGUGACCCGAGCUACGAGGACCAGUUUAAGGAGUCCAGAUUCCAGAUUAAAAGAGAAGACAGACUGAAAGGAUCUCUGAUCAUUCAUGAAGUGAAAGCAUCAGACUCAGCUGUGUAUUUCUGCGCUGCCAGCACACAGUGAUGUGGUUUAAUAGCACCGCUUGUCUAAAAACCUCCUG
This is a non-coding RNA of Acanthopagrus latus (yellowfin seabream), 530 nucleotides long. Lineage: Eukaryota; Metazoa; Chordata; Actinopteri; Spariformes; Sparidae. The record is from the annotation of a RefSeq genome assembly.